RNAcentral lists this ribosomal RNA (874 nucleotides) under uncultured bacterium. RNAcentral describes it as "bacterial SSU rRNA". It matches the Rfam family "Bacterial small subunit ribosomal RNA", at positions 28 to 896 of the family's 1533-position model. The record is from RNAcentral.
AUUGAACGCUGGCGGAAUGCUUUACACAUGCAAGUCGAGCGGCAGCGCGGGGGCAACCCUGGCGGCGAGCGGCGAACGGGUGAGUAAUACAUCGGAACGUACCCUGUCGUGGGGGAUAACCAACCGAAAGGUUGGCUAAUACCGCAUACGACCUGAGGGUGAAAGCGGGGGAUCGCAAGACCUCGCGCGAUAGGAGCGGCCGAUGUCGGAUUAGCUAGUUGGUGAGGUAAAGGCUCACCAAGGCGACGAUCCGUAGCGGGUCUGAGAGGACGGCCCGCCACACUGGAACUGAGACACGGUCCAGACUCCUACGGGAGGCAGCAGUGGGGAAUUUUGGACAAUGGGGGCAACCCUGAUCCAGCCAUUCCGCGUGAGUGAAGAAGGCCUUCGGGUUGUAAAGCUCUUUCGGCAGGAACGAAACGCUCUGGGCUAAUACCCCGGGGUAAUGACGGUACCUGAAGAAGAAGCACCGGCUAACUACGUGCCAGCAGCCGCGGUAAUAUGUAGGGUGCGAGCGUUAAUCGGAAUUACUGGGCGUAAAGCGUGCGCAGGCGGUUUUGUAAGACAGAUGUGAAAUCCCCGGGCUUAACCUGGGAACUGCGUUUGUGACUGCAAGACUUGAGUGCGGCAGAGGGGGGUGGAAUUCCACGUGUAGCAGUGAAAUGCGUAGAGAUGUGGAGGAACACCGAUGGCGAAGGCAGCCCCCUGGGUCGACACUGACGCUCAUGCACGAAAGCGUGGGUAGCAAACAGGAUUAGAUACCCUGGUAGUCCACGCCCUAAACGAUGCGAACUAGGUGUUGGAGAAGGAGACUUCUUUAGUACCGCAGCUAACGCGUGAAGUUCGCCGCCUGGGGAGUACGGUCGCAAGAUUA